UUAGGAAUAUUCGUCAAUGGGGGAAACCCUGAACGAGCAAUGCCGCGUGAGUGAUGACGGUCCUUUGGAUUGUAAAACUCUGUUGUUAAGGAAAAAUGAUAAGUAUAGGAAAUGAUACUUAUUUGAUGGUACUUUUCAAGAAAGCCACGGCUAACUACGUGCCAGCAGCCGCGGUAAUACGUAGGUGGCGAGCGUUAUCCGGAUUUAUUGGGCGUAAAGCGUGCGCAGACGGUUUGUUAAGUUUGAAAUCAAAAGCCUGGAGCUUAACUCCAGUUAGUUUCAAAAACUGGCAGGCUAGAGUGUGGUAGAGGCAAAUGGAAUUUCUAGUGUAGC
RNAcentral lists this ribosomal RNA (333 nucleotides) under uncultured bacterium. Its description in RNAcentral is "bacterial SSU rRNA". It matches the Rfam family "Bacterial small subunit ribosomal RNA", at positions 355 to 679 of the family's 1533-position model. The record is from RNAcentral.